This is a long non-coding RNA of Syzygium oleosum, 1997 nucleotides long. RefSeq lists it as uncharacterized. The record is from RefSeq and is a predicted model, not a curated record. NCBI's taxonomy places the organism in Eukaryota, Viridiplantae, Streptophyta, Magnoliopsida, Myrtales, Myrtaceae. The transcript has 2 exons.
UGGCCUCGGAUUCCGUCGCCGCUGGUUGAUGAGGCGGCACCGGUCCGGCAGGAGUGGCCACCGGUCAUUCGGUUGAAGCUCUUGUGAACACCAGCCCACAUCCCCCUCCCCCUUUGCGCGCAGCUUAGACGGGGCGAAACGUUGGACGCAAAGCUGACGGCGGCGAUGGAAUCCGAAGGGCGGCGAACAAGCCGAAAACCGACCGAAAGGUGCAAUCGCAUACGAAACGACCUGAUGGUACAGCAGCGGCGGUAGCGGCGUGGGAGAGAGAGAGAGGAGAACAAAAAAAGAAUGGAGGAAGACUUGGUGGAAACUGAGGAUGGACGGAGAGAAAUGGAGAGAGAGAGAGAGAGAUGACUCGACUCCAAUGGAAUGAAGGGGGGGAUUGAUCCCUCUAGCUGACGAUGAUUCACUGCAACCGCCGAUGGGAAGCACCGCCCAGCCAUUUGUCCAGAUCGAGCUCUCUGCCGUUCGUUGCUUCCAGCACCCACCGAAUGUGCUGCGUCCUCUGAGCAGAAGGCGUUCGGUGAAUUGCGCAAGAGAGAAACAAAGGGUGAGACGAUUUUGAAACAACAAACAGAGGAAGAUACGCCUAGAGAAAUCUCCACAGACAGCCGGUUCCUCGUGACAAUCAGGCGAUGACGGAAUUUCUCGAUCAACAGUCACACUUGCCCGGUCGUUCAUCUCCGAUUGAACUCUAGAAAUAUUUUAGAUUCAUCCCAAAUUUGUCUGUUGACUUCUAUUUCGGCUUUUGUUUUCUCCCAUUCUCUCGCGGUAUUCCGAAUUUCCAUUGCCGUCGGUUGCACUGUGGGGCAGGAAUCGAGUUCGCAAGGAAGGUGUUUGAUGGAAUGACGAAGCCGGACUCUGCUCUGAAGAAUACCUUUUCAAGAGAGAGAGAAUCGGUGAGCUUUAUCUGGCUGUGAGAGCAAGUUCAAGUCCAAGAGCGCAAGAUGUCAAUUCUCAGACAAAACCCGGAGGCUCGGAUGCUGUGUAGUGUUGAGAGAGGUUGCGGAAGAGUUGUGCUGCAGCGACGCGGUUACAGAGUUAUGCUACUGCGGUGAAAGAGAUGACUGUGAGAGAGGCUCUGAAUACAGCGCUUGAUAAGGAAAUGCCUGCUUAUACUAGAGUCAAUCUAAUGGGUGAGGAGGUCGGAGAAUACCAAGGAGCCUUUCAAGGUGUCUUAAAGGUUCUUUUGCAGAAGUAUGGACCUGAGAGGGUUGUUGAUGCUCCUAUCACAGAGGCUGGUUUCACUGGAGUUGAAGUCGAGCCUACAAGGUGUCUUUAGUUUCAAGAGGAGCUGCAGCACGAGUUGGUGCCCGACACUCCCAAGCCCUGCGAGGACGUCGCCAUCCCAUCUGGAGGAAGCUUUACCGGAUCCGGUCUCGUUAAAUCACUCAUCACCCUCAGGAUCUAUGGGACACGAGAAUCGUCCAUGGCGUACGGAAUGAGAGUUGCUCAUGAACUGUGUAACAUCUCUGUGCAGUGUAGGAAAAUGGUGAACUCCUGAAGCUCACUCCUAGGCAACAUCGUUGAUUAUGGGCCCUUUGCUGCAUUUAUUUCUCUUGUAUACAUGUAUUUAGUGACAGCAGAUUAGAGCAUGCAGACUCUCUGGAAAUACAAAUCAUGGAGAUCUGAGGAAGUAUCUUCGUGGAUAUUUCGACACUACAUGGGGGAAAAAGUACAGUUAUGUAAUGAUACCGGAGUCAUGAGUAGUCGAUAAGCCAUCAGAGGUAUUAUUUGUGAUUGUUGUCUAACAAGAAGCUGUAACUGAUGUCUUUCUCUCGCGAAUGCCCGCCAAUCGGCAGAGAAGGACAGAUACUAUGUCCCUCUGGCCGGUCCAAGGCUCCUAAUGAGCUUCAUUGCCCACAGAUCUGUCCGAAUACUGAAGAGAUGAUAUUUGUUUGUUUUCCUGAAUAUGUUGCUUGGCGAAUCCAACCGGAGCACCUUGGACAUGUACAUGUUUUGAACAGCUUAUACUUGAAAAUUGUUAAAUUGAA